Non-coding RNA from Cyanistes caeruleus (blue tit), 378 nucleotides. NCBI's taxonomy places the organism in Eukaryota, Metazoa, Chordata, Aves, Passeriformes, Paridae. The record is from RefSeq and is a predicted model, not a curated record.
CCCCGUGCCUGUGUCACAAAGGCCACCCCAGCACCCCUCCAACAGCCCGAGUCACCGGGAGCGGCCUGGAGCAGCCCCGGUCUUGGGGGAUUGCUGCCCCUUCUUCUGAGCCGCUCCUUCAAAUGAUCAGGAGCGGCUGGGGCCGAGUGAAGAUCACUCCAAUAUAUCUCUCUAGUGCACCACUAACUGUGAAGACCUUAAUGUGGAAUAUGUUUGCAGUUUUGGGUGCUGCCCUCAGGAAUGAGGUGAAACCAACGUCUUUGGAAACUUUGGAAGGAACAAAUGAAAGGAUUAGGCUCCUGAAAAAGGAAUGUUGAGUUCCAAAGGUCUUUAAUUCCACCUUCUGCUGAGCAAGAACUGAGUGUGGUGUUGCACUAA